GAUGAACGCUGGCGGCGUGCCUAAUACAUGCAAGUCGAGCGAACGGACGAGACGCUUGCUUCUCUGAUGUUAGCGGCGGACGGGUGAGUAACACGUGGAUAACCUACCUAUAAGACUGGGAUAACUUCGGGAAACCGGAGCUAAUACCGGAUGAUAUUUUGAACCGCAUGGUUCAAAAGUGAAAGACGGUCUUGCUGUCACUUAUAGCUGGAUCCGCGCUGCAUUAGCUAGUUGGUAAGGUAACGGCUUACCAAGGCAACGAUGCAUAGCCGACCUGAGAGGGUGAUCGGCCAAACUGGAACUGAGACACGGUCCAGACUCCUACGGGAGGCAGCAGUAGGGAAUCUUCCGCAAUGGGCGAAAGCCUGACGGAGCAACGCCGCGUGAGUGAUGAAGGUCUUCGGAUCGUAAAACUCUGUUAUUAGGGAAGAACAUAUGUGUAAGUAACUGUGCACAUCUUGACGGUACCUAAUCAGAAAGCCACGGCUAACUACGUG
RNAcentral lists this ribosomal RNA (497 nucleotides) under uncultured bacterium. RNAcentral describes it as "partial 16S ribosomal RNA". It matches the Rfam family "Bacterial small subunit ribosomal RNA", at positions 28 to 507 of the family's 1533-position model. The record is from RNAcentral.